Long non-coding RNA from Rosa chinensis, 1842 nucleotides. RefSeq lists it as uncharacterized. The record is from RefSeq and is a predicted model, not a curated record. Lineage: Eukaryota; Viridiplantae; Streptophyta; Magnoliopsida; Rosales; Rosaceae. The transcript has 11 exons.
UUCACAAAAAAAAAAAAAAAAAAAGCCUUUUGUUAUGUGUGUUUUCUAGAAGUUAUCUAAGCUAGUAAAGCCUUCUUGAUCAUAUCGAUCUCUACAUAGUUUCGGAUCAUUCUAUCCCUUUGGAUUUCUCCUUUGGAAGCUUCAAACUUCUAUGUUAUGCAUUGAGCUAGAACUACAUAUCCAAGGAGUUGAGCCAACUUUCAAUGAUCCAAGAUUUAAAAAGUUCUGCAUAAAUUCAAGUCUAGCUUUUGGCUUGGCAAACACCGAAUGAAGAAAUGAACAUGCCUCGAUCAACAAUCUAAGAAAAUAGAAUUGUGCCGAAAAGGAGAGGAACAGUUUGGAAUCUGGAUCAUUCAUUACAACAACUUCAAGUGCCUGUGUACUCAAUUGGACCAAUUUAGGAGUGGGCCUUCUCUGUAAUAAAAAGUUUCUGGUCAAGGUAAAUCUUUUGAUGCCCUUGAUUAGGUUUUUGUGGUUGGAGAUGGUCAAUUUCCCUAAGAGUUAUUUGAUUUAGGUCUGAAGUUGUUAUCUUCAUGCAUGAGUGUGUAGUUGCAGAUGCCUUUGAUUAGGUUUCUGGGUGGGAGAUAGUAAUUUUACAUAAAGGUCAUUGUACAUGGACUCAAUUGUAUUCUCCUUUGUGCAUAGUAUGAAGGAAUUCCUGGGAAUAGAAUAGGUUGAACACAGCUUAUUAUGGUGGAGUAUCAUUAAAAUGAGAUGUAUUGUUUGACAGUAAAUGGUUAAUUGCUUUUGGGGCGAUAGCUUUUUAUGUGAGUGAACAGAAUUGCCUGCUGUUUCUGGACAUUUUUCUUCCAACUUUGGUGACCACAUUCAAAUCAUCUGCAUGUAAACCAUUUACACAAAACAGAGAGAAUACUAAAGCCAGAGUCUCAAAACCCAAAGCUCAGGAAAAUACAGAGUGAACAUUUGUGGGGGUGAACUUCUUUAGCAUAUUUCAAGAAGUUUAUCUUCAGAUGAAGGAUCAACGUGUAUCUAAUAUUCUAAAGUGCUUUGAUGCAAUAGAUGACCUGAAAGUAGAGGCAGAAGCAAAAAUCAAAAAGCAAAUACUUUGUUGAUUUGACAAAGCAGCCUUUUCGUUUAAAUUUUUACCAUUCAAGGUAUCAUAUUCAGUGCUAUUCAGACUUCUUGGAGAUGAGGCAAAGGGUGGUUGGAUAGCACAUAUCUCAAGAAGAAGUAAGUGCAGGGAACAACAUUUGCUCUGCAGAGAGAGCUGAACUUAGGCAAAGACUAUUGUCAAUCAUGUCUACUAGUACGAGAGUUAAAGAGGUAAUCGAGGAGUUUAUCUUCUUAAAUAAAAAAAUAUAGGUGAAUCGGAAUUUCAAGAAGGGGAAUGGCAAAUGGUUUGGAGUUCACAGUUCCCAGAAAAAAGCAUUGUGAAUCCAUACACAAAACUGCCAAAAGAAAGACAAGGACAAUGAUGGUUCAAAAUGUGGCUAUUGGCAGUAAGCAUCCCCUAAGAAUUCAAACAAUCACAACAAAUGACACAAAGGAUGUAUCUGCCACAGUUGAAGAGGUGUCAAGCUUAGUGAUGCUUUAGAGAAGUUAGGGAGAAGUUUGUUACAGGAGCUUUUGUUGUUAAGCAACAGCCUCAAGCUGCCAAACGAGCUGUUUCCCGCCGACAAGCAUGCAAGUUGGUGUGAAGUAGUUGGUUUGGCCAAACCCUUUUCACAGAAACACGUAUAGUCCUAUGGCUUUGAAUCCAUUUUGGAAAUGCAAAGGCCAAGUCUAACCAUUUUUAGCUAAAUACACAUCUGGUCAAGAUACCAGAUUUUGGAAUGUAUAAAAAAAACUCUUUAGCUAUAUAAUCCAUCAAUGUUUAUAACC